Non-coding RNA from Myodes glareolus (Bank vole), 912 nucleotides. The record is from RefSeq and is a predicted model, not a curated record. Lineage: Eukaryota; Metazoa; Chordata; Mammalia; Rodentia; Cricetidae.
GCUAAGCUUUGACUUCUGUCUUCUGGUCAUCUUCUCAAGCAAGCUCCCCCCACCCGGUGUUGGCUUUUAUGCAUGCUGGGCUGCCAGUCCUCACUCAAUAAUGCAUGAAAGGGUAUAGAGGCAGAAGUCUGAAAACACGGAGGACUAGGAAAGAAUGGAGUCCCAGAGACACCUGGACCCUGCAGGAAACACUGGUAGUCACUGACGUUCCUCAUGGUUCACCAACCGCACCAGAUUGGGUGUUGUCUGUAUUCCGGACCCAGCAGUUCUAAUAGAAAGUGGAGACAGCUACAGUGAGAGACUUGGAAAGACAUUGAGACGUGGAGGAGAGAGAUGGUGUCACCACACAGCCUUUGGACUUCUGGCGAUACGUGUCCUAUCUGAGGAAGCACUAGAGAGACAGAAUGCUGUCUCAGGGCCAGCAGAGGCCUUGGGUCAGGGUUGAAAGCAGACAGCUGGAUUAAUCCUCACCGGAAAAGGCUCUAGUGAGAAUGGAGGGAGAAUUCCAUCAUCUUCUGAGUGAUACUCCCAGUCAGCUUUGAGGCCAUAGGGGAACACAUGCAUGCAACACUUGACAGUCCUACGGCACUAUGCUGUGAUGUUGGAAGGUAAGGUGUGGUAGAUGCAUUUUCCAAUUAACGGCAUUUCAAAUUAGAAUGGGUUUCUUGGGGGCACAGCCUCAAGGUCAGUAAAGGAGAAUCAGACCUGUAAAGGAGGGAGGGUUAUGGAAGUACCAUCUUCAGAGGUGGAGAAGAAAUGUCCUUCCCCCUGUAGCUCUAGCUCUUUCUGGGCCGAGGUCCAGGGUUUGCCAGCUCCCCCCGAGUCUGUUUUGCUCCAAGCUGAGCCUGUGUUUCCAAAUGAUAGAGGGACACAGGAGAAAUGUACUUAGAACUCUGACCACUGUUCCGGACA